RNAcentral lists this unclassified non-coding RNA (375 nucleotides) under Hevea brasiliensis (rubber tree). Lineage: Eukaryota; Viridiplantae; Streptophyta; Magnoliopsida; Malpighiales; Euphorbiaceae. The record is from RNAcentral.
GAUGCUAUAAGGAAGGCAUUUGAUGCAACAGAAGAGGAAUUCUUGCAUUUGGUAAAGCGAUCAUGGACAGCUCAGCCUCAGAUAGCUUCAGUCGGUUCCUGUUGCCUUGUUGGGGCAAUAUCAAAUGGUAUUUUGUAUGUGGCAAAUCUUGGGGACUCGAGGGCUGUGCUUGGCAAGAGAGUAUCUGAAGGCAAGACAAGUAGUGCAGUGGUGGCUGAACGUUUAUCUACUGAUCAUAACGUCUGCGUUGAGGAGGUGAGGAAGGAGGUGGCAGCACUCCAUCCUGAUGAUUCACACAUUGUGGUUUAUACUCGUGGUGUUUGGCGGAUAAAGGGCAUAAUUCAGGUUUCAAGGUCAAUAGGAGAUGUAUAUCUA